UGAGUUGCAGCAUCUACUCUUGAAAAUUGAGUUUUAAUUCUACGUGGCUUUACCAUAAGGUAAGGUACUGUCUUCUUUGGCAGUAGAUUAUUUUCAAAGCUUGAAUUUUGUUGUUUUAGUUUGCGAAGCCAUUGCCAUUGUUGUUAAAUUGGGUUAAUAUAAUGGGUAAUAAGCUUAUACUGCGAUGUUUUUUGCUUGAAUCCUGAGUUGUUUCAAUUUGAAUCUUGAGCUGUGAGUUGUAGAUUAUGAAUGGCAAUUUCAGGCGCGGAUUGUGGAUUGCGAAUGGAAAUUUCAGGCUGUGGCUGGAUCGAAGAAGGAAAAGGGAAAUAUUUGGUUGUGGUUAGAGUUGGUGGUUGGAGCUCGAUCGACGAAGGAAAGGGGAAAUAUUUGGCUGUGACUGGAGCUCGAUCAACGAAGGAAAUGAAAGAGAAAAUAUUUGGUUGUGGCUGGAGCUCGAUCAACGAAGGAAAGGCAAGGGAAAAUACUUAGGUGGAGCUCCAUCAAAAAAGACUAAGGGAAAUAUUGAAUAAGUAAAAACGGCAUUAUUUUUGGCUUUCAUGAAAUGCUGUGUUUAAAUUUCAGAAUUUGACCCGGGACAAAUAUCAUUUUCGUGACGACAAAAGCUGAAAUCUGAAAUUUAUUACUAAUAGUAAUGCUAUUAGGACCUGUCCUUGCAGAUUCUACAAGUAACGUACUGUGAGUUGACAAGAUGAGACAUGGCUGUGUGGCAUGUGGACGGUGGAUGGAAUGGGAGAUUAUAUUUGCAACCAAGCAUUCUGGUUUUUUGCCGGUGACAAAAUAAUUUCCUCCCGGUUGCUGACCGGUAACCAGUCAGUGAAUUUGGAACAUGGGCCGUGUUCUGAGAUAAAUUACAGAGAUGGGCUGUGUUCUAAAAAUCCAAACGGACUGUGAAUGGUUGUCGGGUUUGGAAUUUAUAAUUGGACUUUGCUACAGCAAGAGAUGCCACGUUGCAUCUUGUGCAUCAGCAUUGUCUCAACAUCCACCAUCCAAUUUUUGUGCAAUCGAAAUGGCUGAGAUAAAGGUGAUACAGUCGACACUGCUUGGCCCUCGCUUCUCGCAUCCAAUCGCGAGUGCCUUGUCGUCGAUAUCGACGUCCAGGUAGUCGCUGGUCAAAUUCGUAAGAGAAAGGUAAAAUGCUGGGGUUGCAAAUUAUUAAUUCUAGGCAUCUUGGUUGAAAAUAAUUUUAAAAAAAAAUUUAUGUUCUGCUACAUAUGUUUAGACUGAAUAGAAUUGUUAUCUUUUGGGAGUAGGUUCAGUAACAGUGAGGACACCAUUCUCCAUUGAUGCCUUGACUUGAUCGAUCUUGGCAUUUUCAAGCAACCGGAACCUCCUCAGGAACUUGCCGCGGCCCCUCUCAACAUGGUGCCAUUUGUUGUUCUUGUCUUCCUUCUCGACGCUCCUCUCGCCGCUGAUCUGAAGGACUCUCCCGUCCUCAACUUCAACCUUCACUUCCUCUUUCUUGAGCCCCGGAAGAUCCGCCUUGAAAACAUGAGCUUCCAGGGUUUCUUUCCAAUCGACUUGAGCACUGGCAAAUGUUGACACCUCAUUGCUGGAGAACCCAAAGGGCGCCCAGACGUCCGAGGAAAAUGGGUCGAACACGCUCCUGUUUUCGAAUAUGGAUGGAAUCAAAGAUAUUUUUGCUUAAUCAACUGAAACGACGAGCAAUUUCUUUCGUGAGCGUUUGCUUACUUAUCAAUUUGGUCUUAAUUACUCUUUACCGAUAGACUAAGUGGAGCUCAUGGCGUGAUAUUUGUCUCCAACCACGUGACAAUUCCCUAACCACAUGACCUUUUGUUACCGCUUACCUCUGGUUGCACAUUAACCUAAUUAAGCCGGUUUCCCACGAAUCUGGAAUUUUGUUUUCCUCUGUUUCUGACCGUUAAAUCUUCUUGUUCUUUCUCGCUCCUCAUCGAACACCUCAGAUAUGCUGUCUGUCACUAACAGAUUCUGUAACUUAGCUGUUUCCAUGCUGCCACUGUGGCUUGUAGUCCAGUAGUGAACCAUUGCCCUUAAAAUUAAGUAUGAUUAUGAGGGUAAUUAUUCGAAUUCUCACGGACUUAAACUCUUUCAAUUAAUUAUAAUUGUGUGGAGAUUGCUUAUAACGUAUUUCUCUUUUGCGAAAUGCGAGUAAAAUAGAGACAUUCCUCACCGGGAGAGGUAUUUAGCUAGACAUGUAUUUCAUAGAAUAAAAAUGUAAUAAUGUAAAUCUCAUGUAUAUAUUUGAUUGUAAAUAUUAGUGCAAUGAUAUGUUGUCAUUUGUAAAUAUCUAUGUGUAAUACAAUAACAUGAUGCUUAAUCAGUUCAAAAAAAAAAGUUGUUUCCAUGCUAUUAAAUGUGAAGAAAAAAACACAAAAUAAUGAAAAAAGCUUUUCUUCUUUUUUUCCCCCAAAAAAUUAUUAAUAAUAUAUUUUUCUUUCAAUAAUACAGGGGCCAUAUUGCCUUUAUUUGAACUAGAGCAUGGCAAUAGAAGAAGCAUAGAACCUGCUUAAUUAUUAACAUCGCAGAAGAAAAGACUGCAAACUGAAAGUUUCUGAAAUUGAAACAACUAGCAUUUAAAGAAGAAAUUGAAGGCACAUUCUGAUUAGUUGAGUAGCAUAAGCCGAAUUGGCUACACAAAACCAUUGGCCAAGAAAGAGCGCAUUACAGUGGAGAUUAAGGUUGAUUGAGCUGAAGGACUCAGUGCUCAACUUGCACACCUGUGUAACAUCUCCCUCUUGUACACCAUAUUAGGAAAGUUGGAGAAGACUUUCCGAAUCCAACUGCACAUUUCAUAAUAAACAGUUCAAAGAAAUAUAUCAUCAAUGUUUCAUAAAUAAAGGUUAAAUGCUCCUUUAAUCCCUAUCAUUUUUAAAAGUACCCAAAAUAUAAUCUCCUGUUAUAUAUUGAUGUUCGUUAAAAGCUACUAAACUACUCUUUAUUUUUCGCCUGUUGCAUGCUAAAUUUGCAUAAAUUUUAACUUAUGUCGAACAAAAAUUACUGUUCAUAAUUAAAAAUUAGAGCCAACCAUUAUAGAAGUAACAAUAUGGAUGUUUUGAAUAAUUUACAAAAACAUAGAGACUGAUUGUGUAAUUAGUUCAAAUUCCAGAUGCUAGCAGAGAAUUUAUCAAAGGUAUAAAAUCAUGCAUAGAUUAUAAACAAAUGCUACAUUGCAAGUACGGGGCUUUCAGCCACGGAGACAAUGACGAGAACAGCAAGAACCAAAGCCAAAUUUCUUCAAUUCACGUAUUUCCUUUAUCUUGCUUAGUAGAAACUUGUAUGAUCUAUGUUACGAAUUCAAUUAAACCAUCAAUAGUAAAAUCUCCCUGAAAGAGACCACAAUUUAAAUUCUACAUUUUUUUUAUUACAUGAUUUUACAUCAAAUAGGGACGUCAAUCCUCACUUAAAUUUUUAAGGAAAGAAAUUUCAAUUAAACCCCCACAAUACUUUUAUGGGGGGUUCAAAAGUGGCUCUAGGCUAAGUGAUUGUUUAAAUCCCACAUCUAAAACUCAAAACUACCACCACAUCCACAUUCCUUCAAUUUUAUUUUUACUAAGUAAUUAUCAAGCCCUUAAGACUAAUAGCGAAUUUACCCAAGUUAUAAAAAUCAUGCGAUAAAUGAAUAAACAAAUGCUAUCAUGGGCAAUACUUACUUGCAAAUGUGCAGCUUUCAGCCCAAGACAACAAAGAAGAACUGGGGAUGGUAAUUUGACCUGAUCCUAAUUUUUGACCCAACUAACUUAAUCUUAAUUUUUCAAGCUUUGACCCGAAUGUUCAGGCUUCGGAUCGAGUUUGGGCCAAAAUUUUUAGGCCUGAUCAAAUUUUGGGUCAAGGUCAGGCUUAAGCCAACCCGACCCGACCCGACCCUACCCUAUAUUUUAAAAAAAAAUGAUUGUGAUCCUUGUGAAAUUAAAUUGUGUGUAGAAUAAAUGGUUGUAGAAUUGAAUUAUGUAUUUAAAACUUAAUUGCACUGUGUGUUUUUAAUGUUGGAUUGUGGAAUUGAACUGUAAAAAAUCAUUGCUAUUAAUUUGGUUGCUUUGUGAAUUAUUUUGUAAUUAGUUAUAUUGUAUAUUUUGCAUAUUGUUUUGUGAAUUAUUUUAAGUUAGAAAAAUCGUUUCUUUUAUUUUAUAUUUAUGGUAUUGUAACUAGAAAGACAACAAAAAUUGUAAAGUAACAUAAAUAAAAUUAAGAUGUACUUAUAAAAUUAGAAGAUAUUGAUAAAAUAAUGUAAAAACAAAUUUAUGGUUAGAUCGGGCCGGACUCCAAUCCGACCCCAAGCAUAAAUAAUAGAGUUUUUUUAAAUGAUCAGACUUUUAAUUUCAUUGAUCGGGUCGGGUUCGGGCUUGGAUGGAUAGGAACAAGGAUCAAAGCCAAAUUACGAGACAUGUAGGUUUUGAAUUCAAUAACGCGGCUUAAUUAAGAACGAAUUUGCGGAGGAUCCCUAAUCAAGGUAACGCAUUGAAUGAAAAUUAAACUACUUUACAUUGCUUUCCCAUCAACCAGGAUAUUGUAUUUACAACUGACAAGUAAAAUUCUUUAUGAAUUCUUGUUCUUUAAUGGUAAAUUCUCCAUUAAUUCUUAGUCUUUAAUGGUAAAUUCUCCGGUUCAAGGUAAACACAAGUUCAGCCAAUUAUUCAAAUACUAGUCAUAUCGGUAGUCAGUUUUUAUGCCUUCCGGCGACUAAAUCAAACAAUGGCGACCUAACUCCGGCGUGGAUCGUCCAUCCCCCUGGUGAUACUUGAGCCUGACCAUCAGAUGAAAAUACCCAACUUCAUGUUUGGUUGAAAAAAAUAGUAGCAGGAGGAGACGGAUGAAAAGGAAAGGGAAGAAAAGAAAAUGAGUAAAGAAGAGAGCCAAUUUCGUUUUUAGUGUUUGGUUGAACAAAAAAAAAUCAUUUUUCUCUUUUUAUUUCUUUCUACUCUCCUCUUUUCCUCCUCUUCUCUUCUUUUUUUUCUUUUCCUUAUGUUUCUUGUUUCCACUCUCCUCCUUUCCCUUUCUUCUUUCCUUAAAUUUCUUGAAACCAAACAUGACAUAAAAACCUCGUUACAGGUCAAAUCUAAGGGAAAGUGUUAAUUUAUAAUAAUGAUAAAUCUAUCAAGUAUCACCAGCACAGUUCAAAUCCCCCCAUCUAAAACUGAAAACUACCACCACAUCCACAUCCCAAAUCUAAAAAAAGUCUUCUGAAGUGAAUUGUCAACUUCAAGUUCUUCACAUACAUACUUAUUACAACUUCAGAAGUUUCAUUAAAUCACAAACAGAAUUUCCCAUCCUUCCUCUAAAUCCUUGAUUGUUUGAUUACCAGUGUCUAAUAAAAGGAUAAGAACUCCACAGCACCAAAUCAUAUACAAAAUAAAACGAUAGACGAAUUAAAAUAUAAAAAAUGUAGGUCAUAACCAGGCCCCCAAAUCAGAGAUCAUUAGGGGCAGACAUGCAGACCCAAAUCAAUUUCUGUGCACAUAACCAUGCUACCUUCAUCUCUAUAUAUAUUAAUUCCAGAGCAUCGGCUUAUUGUGCACAGAUUUUAUUAUAUAAAAAAAAUCAAAAAUAAAAGAAAACUGAACCCCAGAACAGAACCUAAAAAUGUGUCGAAUCCUAAAACAAAGCCCUCGGAUCAGAGAGAUUGCAUCCAGAGCAGAAGUUUAAGACCCAUUUAAAAUUUUUAUUUUCUGUGCUUCGCCACCUUCAUCCUUUAAAGAGACAUAUCCCGAGACCAGACUUUGGCGCACAGCCAUGAGAUACCUAAGAGCGAAGAGUGAAGUCGCUGAACCAUGUCUAAUUGUCUAUAAAUAGUGGAACAUUUCUCAUCCUUAGGGUUAAGCGUUAGCGAGGUGAAAAGACCGAAAGACCGAAAGACCGGAGUUACUUUGUGUUGAGCAUCAGCCCAUACCCCGACCCGUAAAUUAUAGAUUUAUUUGGGCUUUACUAUUAAAAUCCCAAAAUAUUCCUAUGCAUCCCCCACUUUCAGAUGCAUUCAAUCGAAAAGCUUAAAACAUGUUGCCCAUGACCGUCACAAAAAUUUUCGGGUAUUUUUAGAACAUUGAUCCUUAUCCAUUUAUUUCUUAUUAGGUAUUUAUUUCAAUCAAUCAUAAUAAUAUGUAUGUUAAUAUGGUAAAUAGUGAAUGGAAAAAAAAAACAAUACUAUAAGGUCAUGUUUGGUUUAAAGAAAAAGGAGGAGAGGAAAAGAGUGGAAUGGAAAGAAAGGGAGAAGAGUAGUGAAAUUAGAUUUUGUUAUUUGGUUUGAUAUAAAAUUUAAUAAGGAAAAGAAUUAUAAUUUUUUUCUUUAGACAAAUUUAUCAUUUUCCUUAAAUAUUAAACUAUUUAUAUUAGUAAUAUAUAUAUAUAAAAUGGCAGUCCGGUGGCCGGCGACCGGCGGCUGUCUGGCGAAGUCCGACAGUGGUCCGGCGACGGUCCAUUUAUAAUAUUAAAUCAAUAAAAUAAAAUUAUAAAUAAUAAUUAUUAAUGGCAUUAAAUAAGUUAAAAAGUUGAAGGGUAAUUUUAGAAACUUUAGUUUCUAAUAUAAGAGGAAUUUAAAUUCUUCACUACUUGGUGUGGAAUUUAAAUUCUACAUUAUGAUGAAUAUUAAAUUCUAAUAGAAAUUAAAUUCUUACAUAUUUUGUCAAACCAAACAAUAAAAAUAAAAAGAGAAUUUAAAUUACUUUCUUCUCAUAUAUUCUCUUCUCCCAACCAAACACCACAUAAGAGCACCAAAGACUUUCUCUGCCCAUAGACUUAUUGCCACUUAUAUUCUCACAGGUUAUUUUAUCUCAAAAAAAAAAAAAAAAAAAACCAAGAAGAGAAAGGAUAUUUGUCCCAUAGGUGAACUCCAAGUUCGAAUUGGGCCUCGACUAGAUAAAAUUUUGUUUUCCAAUUUUUUUGUUUGAGUUGAGCUAUUAGCACCCCUUUAUUGUUCUAAUAAAACACUUUUGAGAUAAAAUUACAUUAAAGAACAUUUUCAAAAAAUUUAAACCUAUUAUUAUUUUUCUUUCCACCAAUUCUUUACACCACUCCUGCGAAAUUUACCUUUUCUUUUUUCGGCCAACACUUUUGCAUUCAUCAUCCAUCUUGUUAUGCUACUGUAUUAAUAUAAUCUCUUGCUAAUCUCAAGAUCAGAUGAAUAAAAAUAGCUUAAGAAUUAGCAACCAACAGAAAGUUUUUUGAAGUCAAAUACACACAAAUUUUUGUAAGGAUGUCUACAAUUCACUCUUGCGAAAUUGGUUCAUAGACAUCCAAAAAUAAGAGUUUGGCUUUAAGAAUUUUGAGAUGAAUUUGUUCUAUUAUUCAUAAUUUUUUUUGUAGUCCUGAUGAAUUUAAUUUUAUUGAAGAAAUCAAGAAGGAAAGAAACACAUCAAUUAAAGUUGAAAAUUGUAAACUUGUAGGUUAUCCUAAUCUACACAACAAUAAGUGCCACAGAAGCAAAAAUUUUUUAUUUGCAGCACCUCAUGAAUCAUGAUUACCCAAUUGUCAGGGCAUAAACAUCAAGAACAAUCUCUCUAUUUCUCUCUUUUUUAAUAGUUUUCUUAUAAGUCAAUUAUUUCCUUAAGGAUUGGUUUUAAACUCUAAAUUAAAAUGUACAUUUGAUUGAAAUUAAAGAUGAGAAAACUGAUAGAAAGAGAAGGAGAAAUAAGAUACUUGUAUUUCGGAUUUUAGGAGAGAGAAAGUUAUUUAGAAUAACUGAAAUAAUGAUAUUUUUAGAAUUAAAGAGGGUGUUAAUAGUUAUGAUGAAUUUUCUAAUAUUAUUUAAUGGGCUACACUUAAUUAGCGGGGUUUUAAUAGAAUGUAAGAGGGGUGCAAAUAGCACCACUCUUUUUGUUUUGUUUCGUUAGGACCCAAUUGGAGGCUUGCUUUAGUAGGUCAUCACUCCUUUUAAAAUUGUCACAAUCUACUCACUUUUUAAAUAUAUUCUUAUACUGUGAACUUGUCACCGCUUAUUUAACUAGAUCUAAAAUUUAUUAGAACUCUAAAUAUAAAUUUAAUAUUAUUUAAAAUUCUACUGAAUAUUAGCUCAAAAAUCUGCUCCAUUAGAGGCACGGUGCAAUCAUGUAAUUUAAAAUAGUCAAUAAAAGGAACUUAUUAUUAUUAUUAAUAGCUCCAACAAAGUGAUUUCUAAUAUUUGUUUACUAAAAUAUCAUCACAUCUCGUGGAUCCAUUUCUUUAACUCUCAACUGUCUAUUCGGUCAAAUAUUUGAUUUUAAGUUUUAACAAGAAUCAGCAAGCGAACUAGACAUUUAUUCCGGCCAAUGCAGUUAGCAGCUUUGGGUACUCAAUUUCGAUGCUGAAAUUCCGGCCAAUGGAUCUUGAAACCCAAUGCUAUAACUCGCCCUCUUGGCAUUUAUUUAUUUUUUUAAUCUCAAAUCUAAGUAGACUAGAAUUGAUUUAAAAUCUUAAUAGAUCUAAAUAUCUUAAUACGAAUAAUAUAUUUAUUUUUUGUCUGAAUCUCUCAAAUAAAGAUUAAGUUUAUUUUUUCAACUUUAAAGACUAACAAUAUGUACUUUUACAUUUGUAUCUUUAUAAAUUUGAAUGUCUAUAUCAGAGAACAUUAAUACCAUAAUUUUUUUUCAUAUAUAAGUAAAAUCAUGUUCAAGUGAAUACAUAAUGAUUUUUGAAUUAUAAUAUUUUUAUGAAAACAUAUUAUAUAAUUACAUAAAAAAUUAAUAAUAAUACCUUUGAUUACCGAUAAUAGGAGAUUCAAGCACUUGAUAAAAGAAGCAGAAUGAGGAAGAAUUCUAUGAUGGCUGAAAAAAAUAAAAAUGAGAGUAUUAGUGGGUAAAUGUGUAUAGGCAUGUUUUGGGAUAUAUAUGAAAAAUAAAUAAUAAAGUAAAGAUUUUUUUUACAUUGCAAAUUAGUUAAUGGAUUCAGAUUUCUCCAUUUAGUAGAAAGUAAAAAAAAAUUGGCCUAUUUUAUUAAGUCAAAUUAUCUGAAAAAUCUUAUUAAGUUAUAAAAACAAACAUUUCUGAUUAUCUUAAUUAAUUAAGUUAAGUCACUUUAAGUCAUUAAAUUAAAAAACAAUCACCCUCUAAGUCGUGGCAUUUGAUGAUGUAAGCUUGAGCUUCCUGAUGACUCAUUUAAGUUUCUUGUAUUAAAAAAUAUAAAUUAGAAACAAGUUUUUUUUUUCUCCUAAAUAUAGAUAUGUGUAAGAGUACAUAGAUUUUUGAAUAAAUACUCGACGAACCUAUGCACUGUAUCCAGAAUUCAAUACUCUCUCCAUCAAAGAAGUGCUCGCAUCAAUACUCUCUAUCCAUGUUGUUUGUAAACUCCAUAAUUUCCUUUGAUCUUCUCUCUCUUCCGACCUAGUCUAUCUAUAUUGAGUACAAACACCAAAAAAAAAAAAAAAUCAUAUUACCAUAACUGUUGUGAAAUAAAACCUUUAGAUCGAUAAUAUUUAAUAAGUUUGAGAUUUAAAGUAUGAAAAAAAUUUGAUAGAAUAAUUGUUGGAACGAAAUCUCUUAUGCUCCUAAACAUCAAAAUUAUUAACCUUAUGUUAUUUCAAUCAAUCAUAUUUUCAACAGAUGAAUAUAAUAAAACAUGGACUGGGAUUAUUGGCACCCCUCUAAGUACCUAUUCACACCCCCUUUACUUUAUUAACUCCAUUAAAAUAUUAUAAAUAAUUGUAAAAUUCUUAACAUCUUCUUCAAUGAUGAAAAUGCUCUUACUUAAAACUUGCUAGUUUAAACCCCAUUCUUUAAUUUUUAUUUAUUUUUUUGUUAAACUUUUUUUUUAAGUAAGGAGAAUCAUGAAUAAUUUCUUGAGAAAAAACAAUGUCCAAAUUUAGUAUCCUAGAUUUUUGGGGCAAUUAAGCCAUAAUCUUGAAUAGUAAAAUUUAAAUUUAAUUUAAAUAGAGAUUUUUAGCCAUAAAACGAACAAAUUAACAAAAAAAAUGGAGACAUAUUAUCAUCUUGAGUAAUAUCUAAGACAAGAAAACAAACAACUCUAGCUUUUUCAAAGUUUUUCUUUAAAAAUAUGAGAGGAAUAAAAUGACCAUUAAAAUGGUUCAAAAUUUUCUAAUAUUGUCAUUGACUAGCUAGAUCAAUUGUUUCUUGUGCAAUAACUUCAAACACAAAAAUCCUUAAAAGUAGUUAUAUUAGUUUCGUAUGGUAUUGCCUAACCUUCUGUACGUAGUUCAUGGUACUUGAUCCAACGCUUUGCAAUAAGAGGAAUCGGUGAAGUUGGAAGCAUGAACACCUACAUUAAAAAGCUAUACAAAAAUUAGUCCAAUAAUAAAGAUAUUAUAGCAUAAUUUGAAUUCCUUGAGUUUUAUAUACCUCUAUGAAAUGAUUUCUAUUAACAAAUCUAAUAGUAAUGAUUUUAUAGAAGGCGCGUGACAAUGGAACAUAUCUGAAUGGAAGGAUUUUAAUAUUUGACAGAAAUGAUAUAUGUAGGAAUGCCACAUUAUAUUUAGAAGUAAUAAUAUGACCAGUUUCGGGCAUGGUCAUCCAAUACUCUCUCCUUGGGUUAUUCUCAAAGUAUAAAAGUGAAUGAAGCACCUCAUUUGCUCUACCAACAUAUUCAAAAUCUUUUUUAUAGUCAUCAAAAUGAAUUUGCCACUCAACAAUUAGGUCUUUUCCUCACCUAUGCCCAAUUAUCCUCGCCAAUAUCUAUUAGGUCAGCCACUACUUGAAAACCACAAUUACCAUCUGUAGCAACAUUUUUAACACCACAUAUAUAAAGCCUCAACUCAAAUGAAAAUAAAUCAAUAUAAGAAGCAUGCUUUGGUGCUUUUGUUCAAGAAACACUGAUUUUUCGUUGUCCUUAUGGUUUUUUUGUAGUUGUACUUAAAGACACAAGGCCUGAAGAAUGAUUAUCCUGUGUAGAUACUACAUACUUAAAUCUUGAUGGAUCCCGAAGGGUCGAUUUAUCAAACUUUUGGGAAGGUUGUCCUCAAGUUUUAGCCUUAACAGUUGGCUCAAUUAAAAAUAUUGAGGAUAGAUCAGCUAACUCUUUCAAUUUUAUUUUUAUUUGCAUUUUUUUGAAAUCAUCAGAACCAUUAAUUUCAUUUCAAGAGUAUAACUCAACUUCGCUGAUUUUUCAUUGCUGGUAUGAACAAAGGCCAAUUUCCUUCAAUGUGAAUGUACAUAUAUUAAAGGUAUUGGAUGACCUUCACACUUAAGAUAUGCAAUUUUUUGUGCACAUGGUAACCCAUGAGUGUGUCAAACUACACAAUCACAUGUUGAAACAUCUACCCAAUUGAAUCAACUUUUUUUGACUCACUAAGUAUCAUAUCUAAUGUAUUUCUAGCAAUUAAACCUCUUUAUUCUUUAAAAAUUGAAGGUGUUGCACAUUAGUCAAACUCUUCUCAAAUGAUACCUUAAUUUGCGUAUGUUGCAACUCAACCAAAGAAUAAAAGCUUUGUCCUUAACACUACAAGGUUUCCUUGGGAUGAACAUAGUUUCCUCUUUAAUUUUGAAUGUGUAGUCCCGGCCCUAAAAAUAAACCAACAAAAAUUAAAAAAUAGAAAGAUAUAUUGAAAGAAAAUGGUGUUGAGUUUAGUUAUUAAAUCAUUGAAAAUUAAAUACUUUUUACCUAUUGGCUAUUAUAUUUCUUAAUUGCAUAAUAAGGUCUGUCCAUUUUGUAACAAAAUUUUCUUUAUACUUAUCAAGUCAUGUCUGCUUCAUAUAAACAAGUGUUGUCGGAUAUCUAGCAUAAUCACUCUAAACAAUACUCAACUGUUGUAUGUACUCUUGUUUAGUGGUUGAGAACACCAAUACAUUCCAACUGCUAUUAAAGGCUUCUAAUCUUUCAUUAGUCUCAAAUAGCUAGUUUCUUACAAUUAACUAACACAUUUCUUGAAAUAUGUCAUCUACAAAGUAAAUUAGUUGCAUUUGAAAAUAUCUUUUCAAUAGCAUUCAUCAGAGCUAAUUCUCUUUUUAUCACAAUUACACUUGGUAACAUAUCAUCUUGCAUAAUGGUUUUUAAUCUCUUCAAUGCUCAAAUAUAGUUAUCCUCUCGCUUGGACUCAAGAUAUGCAAAAUCAACAUUAAAUGUCAUUGUAGUUAAUGUGACACCAACUAUUUCCAACAAUGGAAACUUAUAUUUGUUGACUUUAUAAGUGCAGUCCAUUAUUAGAACAUUUGUGAAAGCUUUUAACAAUUCAAAAGUAAGAGGAUAUGCCCAAAAUAUGUCUCUUACACAAUUUGUAUCAUCAUCACUAUGACGUCAAUCAAUGUAAUUAUGAUCAUGCAAUUUGCUUAUAAGUUGUUGCAUUUGUGACUGUCCACCCAAUUCGCGAACCUUAUAUUUAUAUCGAGCAUUACAAAUCGCCUUCAUCGUUGUGACACUAAACGUGUCCCUAGUCUUUAAUAUAUAAAAUAUCUCUUUUGGUCGAACAUUAUUUUUAGACAGAUCAACCAAUGUACUAACCUCUUCAUUAGUAAGUCUACUUGCAAAUGAGUGUCCCUCAAAAUGUUGUGCAACAUGAUGGUUAUGCAAUCCACAAAUCACUUUUAACAUCCAAUCUUGAUUAUUCGCCCACAUUUGCCCCUUUAAUAAAAAUGGACAGCCACACUUUUUUAUUCCAAUUGCAUUGGUUCUUUUCUUCUUUUCCAAAUUGUUAUUCUGCUUAUUUGCACCAGAACUUCUUUUGGGAUUCACCACUUCUUUCACAAGGAAAACUUAUCCUUGGUCUCCUUCCAAUCACAUUCAGGCAAGAUUUUUUAAUAACAAUCACAAGUCCAUUUUUAUGGGGAAAUUUACCCAUUUAACUACUUUCCAACUUUUAAUAUAAAAAAAGACCUCACUUUAGUUUUUCUUACAAUAACAAUCACUUACAAAGCUCUCGGACCAAACUACCUAUAAAUUCUCAAAACAAGACACACAAAAAUUUCGUCCAAUAUUAUCCAACUCCUAAGCAACAGCUGAACAUCUACACACACCACCAAAACACUCCUCAUUUCACCUCUCCCACAUUAUCCAAUUAUCACUCAACCUCCAUUUUAUCUGUCUCACAUUCAUCAAACUAAUAUAUUUAUCUAAGUAUUGAAGACAAAAUCAAGCAACAAACUAAAGAAUAAUAAAAAGUUAUUAUUAGUAUUUCUUCAAUCUUUAUCUCUUAUUUUUUAUUGGGUUUCAUACAAAAGAACAAUUGCUCAUUUUAUUACAAUGUGGGUACAUUAAAUGGUUAAUAUGAGGUCAUAGAUUUAUAAAUUAAUAAAAUUUCGGCAAAAUCUGAUGAAAAUGGGUUUUGAACGAUGUUGAAGAUGAAACCUAGAAUCCAGGCGACAAGUACCUAUCGCCCUGGUAACAAAAUUGUCGCCUAAGCUUAGAAUGACUUGUCGCCCCAAGCCACAGACUGUGUCGCCCGAUUUUCCAAAGAGCUGUCUAUUGCUUGGUUUAGUCAAGCAUCAUGUAAGUCUCGGAAAAAUCGGGCGACAACAUGUAUCGCCCAACCAAAUCAUGCUGUCACAUAUUUACAUGGCUUGUGUCACCCACGUUGCUCAGUCUCCCACGCCAUGGAUGGCCAUUUGGUUAGGUGAUGGGGAGAAGCCACUCGCCUUGCCCAAGCUUGACAUGGCCAAAUUUUAGGCAAUACGGGCAACCAUCCAUAUUCUUGAUUGGCCAACACACCAACCUUCUCUUUAACCUCAAAAUAAUUCUAAGUUUAGAUCAAUAAUUUCUUAUAGGCAUUUAAACAGACACUUGGUGUGCUAUUUAUUAGCUAUCUUAAUGUUAAAAAAAAACUCUCAUAUUUUCAUGCCUAAUACACAUCCUAGUGAUUAACUAUGAUCAAUGAUGAACCAACCAGACAUUUAAACAAAAAUUUAUUCUAAAUUCAUGAAAAAAAAUCAAAAAAGUACCUAAGCCACCGAAACCGUAUGUGAAGGAACUUGCUGGAAGCAAAAUAACUCACACACGCCACUAGAAGUGAAGGAAAUCGCCAUUGGAAGUGAAGGAACUCGGCGGAACUCAAGAAACGCCGAAAGUGAAGAAACUUUGUGUGGGUAUAAUUGGGCGGUAGGAGUUGUUUUUAAGUGAAUAUUGGGCAAAAUGUUUGUGUGUUUUGUUUUGAGAAUUUAGGGGUAAUUUGGUCCAAGAGCUUUGAAAGUGGUUGUUAUUGUAAGAAAAAUUGAAGUGAAGUCUUUUUUUAUAUUAAAAGUUGGAAAGUAGUUAAAUCGAUAAAUUUUCCAUCAUCCACGGUAGAACUAUCCUCCUUCACAAUGAUUAUAUAGAUAUUAUGUAAGUUAAUAUAACAAAUCUUGAAACUCGAAGAAUAGCAAUUUAUUCAACAAUAAUCAGUUGAUAUUUGUUAAGGGGAUUUUUUUUAGCAUUGUUCAACAUUCUCCUUACCAUUAUAACUCGAAAAUAACAAUAAAAUAUUAACAAACUUACUUUUUCAUUAUCAUCUUCUUCCGUUUGCUUCAUUAUUGUCUCCUAAAUUUGAAACUCUUAAAUUAGAGUUUAAGAAAGAAAUGAGAGUUUAAACUAGAUACUGUUUAAAGAAUUUAAAACUCUUAAAUAAAAUAUGGCAUAUUAAGAAUUUUUAAGGAGAAAAUUUUACUUGACUUUAGAGUAGAAAUUUAAUUAAAAAUUAUCCUAUUAUGUAAUUUUAGUAAAAACUAAAUUUAUAAAAUAACUAAAAAUGUUUCAAGAGACGUUUGGAGGGGCGCCAAUAGCCCCACUCUAAAACACAAAAGACAAAACAAGGGUAAACUCUGGUAGUUGGCAAAAAAAAUUAACAAUAUCCAUAUUAUAUUCCAAAGUAAGUCAAGAUUGUGGGUCCUGGUCAAAGGAGGAUAUGGCACAUUCGUAAAUGUUGAACGAUGAUAAACCGUGGUGUUUCAAUGGCCGCGUGUAUUUGAUUGAAACUAUGAGUGAAUUUAAAAUUGAGAUGUUGUAACUUUUAAGUUAUAACUGUUAUGAAAAAAAUUUAUAAAUAUGAAAUAAAAAUUAAUAAUAUAUAGUAAAUAUAAAUUUUAAAUAAUAAUUUUGAUAAAAUUAUUAAAGAUAUAACAAAUUUUCCAUUAUUCAAAUGAAAAAUCGUAUUAACAUAACUUUCAAGUUACAUCAAUUAAUAUUUACUAAACACUUUAGUAUUGUUUCUUUUAAGAUACGGCUACCUAAUCUCAAUUCCAAAUGCACCAUAUGUUUGGUCUUUUCUUGUUUGCUUGCAUGUACUUAUUAUUAUUAUUAUUAUUAUUAUUAUUAUUAUUAUUAUUAUUAUUAUUAUUAUUAUUAUUAUUAUUAUUAUUAUUAUACUUGUGACACAGGUAAAUUACAAUCUAAACUUUACCAAGAUUCUAUAUACAUUCUAUCAUAAUUCAAAAAUUUUCGGAACAUUAAUUUAAAAAUUCUACGCCCACAAAUAAGUAGGAAAAAAUUUGUUUCUAAUCUAUAAAUUAACUUCACAACUACACACGAGUUAAAAAGUAUUCCAAAUAAUAUGUUUUUAAUUAAAGAACAGAAGAAACAUUGUUUUGUAAUAAUAAUAAUAAUUGUAAUAAUAAUUAGUGAUAUAAUCUAAUUAUAUGUUGAAAGUUUGGGUUUAUGAGAGGAUUUAUCUUUACUUUACAAGGAGAAAAUGGAUUUUUAAUUUGUGAUUAUUAAAAUUAUAUCAGAACUCUUUUAAAAUUAACCCUAAAAGUGUUAAGAAAUAAAAAAAAAUGUUUUUUUUUUUAAAGAACACUUGGGAAAAUAAGAAUGUAAACAACAGCGUGUAGACUGUAGACAUAAAAUAAAAAAAAAAAAAAUUGAAUUAGGUUUAAGCACAGAUUAUUUAAUAAUAAAAAAUACUUCUGCCCUUCUUGGCUUCUUUCAUAAUAGAUGUGGCCCUCAUAUCACUUUCUCUUCUAAUCCAAGAAACAGCGUGUACACAUAAAAUAUUUUCCACUUCUAUUUUUUAAUGGAUCAUAAUUAAUUUUUCCAAAAUUGAAAAAAGAACAAAUUCUGUCUUGGCCAAAUAACAUAGAGGUCUCCUUUUCUUUUAUGAUUUACCAAGUAAGGAUGUCAUUCUUCCAUUUGUAUCAAAUACACCCUAGCCUCGAUCUAAUGAAAUAACUCAUCAUAAGGAUGCAUUACCAAAUUUAACACAAUCUAUCACUAGCGAGUAGCGACCAUCGUAAUACUUCUUCAACAAUAAUUUAUAGGUAUUACACCAUCCAUUAUUGUUGGCCAUCAAUUUUAAGUUUUUACUUAAAUCGUAUUUAAUUUUGUUGGUGUUCACGUCGCCGAAUAUAAGUAACAAUAUAAAUAUCACUAAAGAUUGAGGUAUUGUUUAUGAAAAAAUAAAAUUUAAUGAUUCAGUACCAUAACUUAGGCCAUAAAACAAUUGUGAUUUUUUUUUUGGGUCUCUAUGAGAGUGUGGGUGGUGACACCAUUAACUGACGAUGAGUACAAUGACUAAAUCCAUAAAUUUUAAUUUUUGUUAGAAUAUUAAUGCAAUUGUCAGUGAUAUUUGUAUUAUUACCUAAAUUUGACAAUAAGGAUUUAGGGUGUGUUUGGGAUUGAGAUACUGUAACUUUUAAGAUAUAAUUGCUGUGAAAAAAAAAAUUGUAAUUAUGAAACAAAUGUUAGUAAUAUGUAGUAAAUAUAAAUUUUAAAUACUAAUUUUGACAAAAUUAUUAAAGAUAUAAUAAAAUUUUCAUGAUGCAAGUGAAAAACUACAUCAACAUAAUUUUUAAGUUACAGCAGCUACUGUUUACCAAAUAUUUUAAUACUGUAGCUUUUAAGAUACAGCUAUCCAACCUCAAUCCCAAACGCACCCUUAGAGACUAUAGGUUAUAAAAAUGACUAUUUGCGGUUACUGAACCCAAGGAAGUCCUGAAAGAGUAAUGCACAUUGGUCUAGGUGCUUGUUUUACGGAAAUUAAUAAUCUUCAGCUCUACUAAAGAAAUUUGUAAAAAUACAGAGAUCUAAAUGUUAUAAUCCCAUUUUAUGAAAAUAAAAAAAUUCGAAAAAAAUAAAACUAAAAAAAGAAAACCAAUCGAUUUACGCGGCUUUGAGUAUCGCCCGUUACAAAACAAUCCGCAAUUUCCGAUUUUAUACAGCUCUUAUUUUAAUUAUUUUUAUCUCUUCUUAAACUGCAGUUAGUUUCUUUUUUCGUCAAUUUAAAAGGAAAAAUAGUAACCAAGAAAAAAAAGCUUUAACGAAAGAUCAAAGAAAUUUCGAUCAUUUUGCCCUCAAGGCGGGGGAUGGCGGGGCAAGGUUUGAUACGCUCGCCGUCGCUGACGCAGCGUCGGCAACCGCUUUUGGCAAAAAAUGGUCAAGAAAGGAGGGGAAUAAGUUCGGAGAGUUCGUCGGAGGGACGACCGCGGAGUGCGCGGCGGUGUGCUGCUGCUGCCCGUGCACGGUGAUGAACCUCCUCGUGCUGGCCGUUUAUAAGGUGCCGGCGGGACUGUGCAAGAAGGCGUGGAGGAAGCAGAGGAAACGGCACCGCAUUGCGAGGAGGAAGCAGGUGGGGGGCCUCCUGAUGGGCCCCACCACCGGCGGACCCAAUGCGGAGGAGAAGGUGGCGCAGACGGAGGAGUUGUUGGUGGCGGCGGCGGAUCAGCAGGAGGGGGAGGAUGAAAAAGCUGCUGAGUUGGAGAAGGCGAUGUGGGACCGCUUUCAUGGAGCCGGGUUUUGGAGGAGUCCAUCUCAGAAAGAAAAAGAAUAAACGACGCCGUUUCCUUCCUUAAAAGUAAAUAUUAAUAUUAUAAUUGUUAUACUGAUAACUGUACCAAAAAUUGCACGUGCAAGAACUGUUCGGUUAGAGGAUCUUUUGAUAGGGUAAGCUCAGGUGCAGAGUUUGUUUGUAUAGAAAAUUAUCAUAUAUUGUUCCCAAUGUUUUGAGGUCCAAUUACAUUACAUGUAUAACAAAUAUACCUUCUUCGGCUUUAAUCUUUAAUCUUUACAGAUCUUGCAUCAAAAUUUUGAUUUUGAUUUUGAUUUUGGAUUCUCUUCUGCCAUUCAUUUAAAUCCUUUUAAGUUUUUUUUUUUCUUUUUUCCUGUUAAAAAGGAUAAACAUAUUGUUAUGGUUUUUACACGUCACACGAGAUCACUUUUGAGACAGACAAUCACUUUUUGUACAAAUAUUAAAAAUUUGUGGGAUCCUUUUUCAAACAAGGAAUCUUGUGUGACUAUUUCUGAAAAUGAAAACAAAAUUAAGUUUGUAUGUUCUGUAAAAGAAUUAUGUGAUCAUUUCUAAAAUUAUUAAGGGUUUAUGUGAGACUAUUUUGUCAAGCUAUGGAUUUUUUUUCUUGUUAAAGAGUAUUUGAAUAUUUACAUUCAAAAUAAAAUAAAUAUUUAGAUUUAAUAUUGUACGCCAACGAUUUCUUAGUUGAGUUGGUAAGACAUUUCUCACCUCUUUUUUGAGGUUGAGGGUGAGUCUUUCCGCAAGUGUGAGAGUUUAUACAUUUGUUAUUUUCUUUAAUUUCAAAUUUUUAGACUGGAUUUCAAUUUUAAUAUGUCGAGACAGGUUACAACAAAUAUAACGGACUAUAUUUAUCAAUAUUUUUAUUGUACUAUAGAAUUAAAGAAAAACAAAAGCCCCUUGAAUUAAGUGUUUAACAACAAAAUUUCGUGUAUAGGUAAUUUUAUGUUAUUUUUAUGUUCCACAAUAAAAACUUGUUUAUAUUUUUCAAUAUUUGUUUGCUAACAUACCAUAGGCGGAUUUGCUGUGUACACGUCUAUUUUGUGGCUGGAUUUAUGCCUUGCAAAUCAGUCUAUCGUAGCCUAAUUGCCAGGUAACGUGUAUCCAUCUCGUAUUGCCUAAUGUUGGACUUUUGAGACUCUUAAAUUUUAUUUAAUUAUCAAAAAUCUCUCAAGUUGGAUGUUAUAUAACUAUUAUUAAGAGUGUAUUUUAUCAUUUUCUUCUAUAUAUUGAAGAUUAUGUGUGUUUGGUUUCGUAUUUGAUACAAUUUUAUUCGUGUUGGGUUUGUGCAUGUUUGAUUGACUUAACAGAACUCACGUAUAUGUAGAAUAAGUAACAUUAUCAUUAAAAUAAUAAAUAAAUAAAUAAAUGAAAGACUGAACAAAAUAAAAAAAAAAAUUAAUUAUAGGUGGAUUUUUUUUUUUUGAACAUAACAAUUUCUUGAAUUUAGCCUUUUUUUUCAUUUGUUAUUUAUUCUUCACAAACUGAUUCGUAAGGCCACUAUUUGUCAACUUUCCUUUCACUUGUUCGUGUUCUUUUUAUUCUGUGCCUUGAAUUUGGACACCACAUAUUUCGAACUCUGUUUGUUGAUUAGCUUGGAUUCAAUUCAUGUUGUUGAAUGUGACACAUGAGAAAUAUUGUUGUAAAAAUUGCCUAAUUUGUAUUAUCAUCGACAUCCACUUGAAAAGAUUUCAAGGAUUAAUUGAUUUUGAUAUCAAUUAAUUGCUAGAUAUCAACUAGCAAUGCAGAUAGUAUCACUGUCCUUUUCAAAAGGGGUAGAUAUAUCUCCCUCAUAAAUAUUGCUAACAUAAAUAUAUUUUUCGAAUAUUAAUAGUGAUAAAUAAAUAAAUAGAAUUUGAGUUGUGCUAUAAUAAUACGAUGUUGUAUAUAUUAAAUUUUGGAUUGUAAAAACAUAUAGGGAUUAAAAAAAAUAAAAAUGAAGGGUUUUGGCCUCAUUAAACUUGAAUGAGGAGAAUUAUGAGCGUUCAAAUUCCAUUGUUGUGUGAUUAAUCGAAAUGAGUAUAAAGACUUUUAUGAACUUUUUUUCUAAAAGUUUUACAUUGCAAUGUGAAACAUGCUAAAGAUGAUGUAGAUACAAAAAUUGAGAUGCAAAUUUUGUGGAAAUAUUAUUAUAUCCUCCAUCUCUAUAUUCAAAAUGAAUAAUUUAUAUUGAUGUAAGACAUAGGGCCAGUUUAAUAAUGUUGUAGUUUUUAAAAUAAUUAUUAUUAGGUGUAUUAGUUAAACACUUUGUAAAAUUUAUUUUUUAAGGUGCAGUGAGUUUUAAAAGUAGUUGUAUGUGUUUGGUAAAUUUUAUUAUUAAACUAUUGUAAGAAUAUAAAUGAUUGAAUUGAAUAUAAUGUGAAAUAAAAGUUGUUUACACACACAUACAUACAAACUAAUUGAUAACUAAACUAAAUUUUUUAUAUUAUUAAUUUUAUUUUGUUAUCUCAAUAUAAUUGGUAAUAAUAAUAAUCUCUUUAAAGUUAAUGAUUUAUCUCCUAAUUAAUGCGGAUAGUUUUGAAUUUUUAUAAUAUAUAUAUGGAAUUGAAUUAAGCAUAAAAAUGGUUUUCAAAAUUAGAUUUUAAAAAGUUCCUCCUUCCUUAUUUUUCAAAACCUAUUGUAGGAUGGGGGUAUUUUGUAAAAAAGUGAUUUCUAAAAAAAUGUAUCAAACAUCAAAAUUAACUUUUAAUUUUUCAAAAUUAUUUUUAAACCUCUAAAAAAUAAUCUGAAACAGGCCCAUAGUAUGUUAGGAGUAAUUUAAAAGAAGUUGCAUAACUUAUGUUACAGUGUUACACUAUUAUUGAUGCCUGAUUGAGAUUUUUUAGAGAGAUUUUAAAGUAUUUUUGUUAUACCAACACCUACUUUAUGCAUGUAUGAUAUAUGUGUGCAUGAAUUAAAUAUAACUUCUAAUUACAUGAUAAUUUUUUAAAAUAAAUAUACACAUGUCAUAUAUGUAUUGGACAAGUAUAGUACAAUACAAAUAUUCCACAAUCUCUCAACUUUUUUAUACAACUUUGAUAAAUUGGUCAAAUUUUCUCUAGCUAUGGCUGUGGGGUCCAUUAUAUUUUCGCCUAAUUCUGCUACUUUAGGAACCAAAAAACGUUAGAUGUUAUUUCCUUACACUACUAGAAAACUUGUUCAGUUUUAUACUUUUCUAGAAAUCCCGGCUUUAAGCUUUCGUUUUUCAUGUUUUAUUUAUUUUCAUUUCAUUAUUUUAUUAGGCAAAUAAUUAAAAUCUAGCUAGAAUUCCUUUAUAUGUGAGAAAUUAAUUUCAUUUUGGGGGAUUUAAAAAUUAAGUAACAUUAAGUUUUUCUAUAAUAUAAAAAGGAUUUAAAGCCCUCAAUCUCGUGAACUAUCAAUAACAGAUUUUUAUUUAGUACUUUAUUCUUUCAUCGCUUCAUUAAAUUAAUAUUUACUUGAUUGUUGCACUGUCUGCUCUAUUAUAUCCUCUAUCAUGAAUUAAUGGAUGUUUGUAUUAUUAAUUUAACUUGAAUUUGAUGUCUCUUAUUUACACGAUUUACUUUGAAAACUGGAUCUCUGACAGUUCUACCGGAUACUUUUAACUUAUUUUUCGACUCUAUGCUAACAUCAAAUAAUUAAAUUACUAAAAUUGGAAACAAAGACUGGAAUUAAAAAAUAUAAAGAUAUUCUUCAAGUUUAUUCUUCUUUAAUCUUUAAAUAUGGUAACUAAAGUGAUCGUUCAACUCUAGCUCCAUGCAUAGAAACUAAAUAUACCUUGUUGCCGGAAAACAAUGUUUCUUGAAAGACUCACGAUGAUCAUUUUAGAGAUACUUAACACUUCAAUAUUCUUUGUACAGUUAUUAUCAAUUAAUCAACCGUGAGUUCCAAAGUCUUGAUCAUUCCCACUUGCUUGCUUAGCUUGUGUUUAUUAUAAAUUGAACGUGCUACAUUUUCUUUGUGAAGAUUAAAUGAAUCCGACUGUCUUGCCUGCUGUAAUAAGAUGAUUGAAUCACCCAUAAUCCUUGCAGGUAUAGCCAUUUUGUGUUCAUCCUUGGCCAGUUUUCUAAUUUGGGUAGCUACCUAUUUGAUGAAACGUGCUUAUUCUGCUCACCAUUCAUUCGAUGACCAUACUAUGAUAAUUGCUAUUCUUGAGGGUUUCUUAAGCAUUAUCACUGCAUUUUGCUUCUUACUAUUUGCAGUAACAGCCUGCUCCAUGAUGAUAUAUCAGAACGGGACUGUUCCUCCAUCAGCACCGGCUAACGGUAAGAUUGUGCCGUCUAUGACUUUGCCAACCGAUGAGGAAGAUCCAUCAUUGGAAUAAAUGCAGAUCAAUAGAAUUUCAGAAUUCAGUUUUUUUUUUUUAAUGUAAAUUUUCUUAUUCUAUUAAGGUGAAUUUUAGGAUUUGGAUUCAUUUCAUAUGAAUUUUUGUUUUGAAUUUUGUUUAGAAUGUUGUGAUUAAUAUUUUUGGAUAAGAAUAUGUUUGUGAUUAAAUUUUGAUUAAUUUAGAGGCAUCGAUUGGUUUUCUUGUAAUUAUUUUUAAUUGGCCACGUGUAUUCAAAUCCUGGGAGACGAGGAACUACAAAAUCAAAUUGAGCUUUGCCCAUUUCCUAACUAGUCCCUAUCUUUUUUUUUUUUUUCUUUUUUUCUUUAAAUAACCAUACGUUAUUAUUAUAUAUGCACAUGUUACUAAAUCUUUAAAAGAAAUAUUGGGACGACGUUCAGUUAAAUUCAAUUUUAUGCGAGCAAAACACGGAUUUGGAUUCACAACUGUAAUAAUUUGUACCAUUGGUUUUUCAACAUUGUGGUUCGUAAUAAUUAAUUGAAUAAAAAUGUAAAUGUAAUUAAAUCUCAACCAUCCCUGGUUAUAAAUUAACGCACACAUGGCACAUGGGUGGCUUAAUUUACUUCUAAUUAUUAUUUUACGUCGAUUCCCCUCUUGCGCUUCUACUUGACUUUGAAACCACAACCUCACAAGCAGCAGGCUAUUUUUUGUAUGUUUUUUAGAUUCGAAUGUUACUUAGAGAACAAAUCUUUAUUCCUCACUUCAUAUUUACAUUUGGGGUGCAGUUAAGCUAUUUUUUGUUUUUUUAUCUGAAGUCUGAAUGAAUUUAAAUUUUUCUGAAGUCUUAAUGUACCUGAAUAUGAAUAUUUGAAUGAGAUAUUUAUUUUUAUUUUCUUAAAAUCUGAAUAUAAGUGGCAUUUUACUUUUUAUUUUAUAAAUAAAAAACAUCACAAACAUGGUUAUUUGAUAUUUACAUCCUUGUAAAUCAAAACAAAAAAAGGGGAUUAACUUUUAUAGUUUAGGAAAUAAGUAUAUUUUAUAGCGAUAUUCUUUUAAAUAUAAUAUUUACUUUUCAUUAAAAUCUUUUUCCAUUCGUACAAAAGUUAUAAAAAUUCACUUUUUUUUUUAUUUAGAUGUAAAUGUCUAACAAAAAAAACAAACAUUUUUUUAUUCAGAUGUAAAUGUCAAAUAAAAGAAUAAACAAGCAUAUUUUAGAAAAAAACUGAAAUUAAUAAAAUUUUAAACUUUAAUUAUUUAACAAAAAAACCAUAUAAUGUAACUUACAUUAGAGUUGUGCUAAUAUCUAGUGAGUGAUUCUAUCUAUUCAAUAAUGGUUGUAUUCGGUUGUAACGUUACAUUGUACGUAACUUAGCCGUGCCCUUAAAGCAUAUUGUGCAACUACGUACCUCAAUAUAGAACAUACCCUAAAUCUCUUCCAUUUAAGCUUUAGUUCAAUACUAUAUGUUUGUUAUUAUUAGUCAAGCAUACCCCGGUUUAUGUGUAUAUUAAUUCUACCUAAAUUCUAGAAUUACUAAACUAAUUCUAAGCAAAAUAUUUAUUAUCCAAAAUAUUCCUUUUGUUUAACUCCUUUUUAAGCAAAAUAUUUAUUAUUAUUUAUUAUCCAAGUUACAAACAAAAGGGAGUGUUGUGAAGUAGCGGCUCACCACUUUAUUGGCUUCCAAGUUCCAAAGGCUUAUACAUAUGUGUGAUGCAUAUGAUUGUUGUGAAAAUAAUAAGAAUUGAUUUUUUAUAAUUCUAUUAACAAGGUAUUUAGUAAUAUUUAUAACUAUCUCGUUAAUAGACUCAUCAGAAGCCAAUACUUAUUAUUUUCAAAAUCAUCAUAUACAUCACACAAGUAUAUAGCCAUGGAGGAUGCUACAUUUUCGACGUGGGAUUUGAGCUUUAGACGAAAGUGGUGAGGCAGUACUUCACAACAACAAGGAAAUAAUCAAUUAGAUAUGAGAGUAGGAUAGUUCCUAUCAAUAAUUCCAAAUAAUACACCACAGCUAGCUUGUAAGUUCCAAGAAAUUAUUUCUUGUCCUUUCUAAAGAAACAAGCCGUGUAAAAAUAUCUUUCCGUAUAUACACAUGUAUACAGCUUGUUCAUCACACAAGGAUACAUAUAUGUUCACUCACAGUUUCUUCUUGUUUUCUCCUUUCUUCAACAGGCAACUCUCCUUAAUUCUCACAGAUUGAGCAGCAACAGUUAAGAUGAAAGCAUCACCUAUAUACUUUGCGCUGAUAUCCAUUCUCUUUGUAGCCUUUCAGCCUUUGCCUGUUUGGUAAGUGCCUUAAUUUUGAAAGAGAUAGCACAUCCUCAUUCUCAUCAAGUGUUUUACAUAAUAUCACUAUGCUUACGAGCCUUUUUGGCUACUAUUGCUUCGCUUGGUUUCCUUUUCUUUGCUCUUUUGGCUUGCUUCGAGGGCUUUGGAGAACGUAGUAGCGGCAACACCAUUGAAUCUGCAUCACAGCCACCAGUAAAGCCUAGCAAGAGCAAGAUUGUGCCAACAUCAACAUUACCACCUGAAUUUAGUCUGCAGAGUCCAAAUAUUGUAUAGAUCAGUAAAUAUAUAUAUAUAUAUAUAUAGAGAGAGAGAGUACUGAUAUAUAUGUAUAUAGGCAAGUUAGGUUUUGCUUUUCUUCUUUUUUUUCUUGUUCAUUUUGAGUGAUAAUAAGAAUUAAUAUCAGAACUUAAUUUUUCAUUAGGUCCUUUAACAUGGAAAUAAACAUUAGUUAAGACUUUGUCUAGACUUCAUCUUUGCCCACUUCUAUAUGAAUAUCAUAUAUAUAGGUUUCCCUUUUAUAUUUAUUAUGUCUUCGAUUCAUUUAUUUCUUUAAAUUUUUUUAUGGCAAACCUAGUAACCUAUUUUUUAAAAAAAAUAAAAAUUGUCACAAUCUAUAGAUACAUACAAUUUGUAAAUCUAAUAGGAGCUAAAUAGUUAUAAUUUGUAGUCAAACUCAGAAGUUUACCGACCAUAAACUCGAAAAUAUACUCCCACAAAUAGACAGGGAGAUAACUAUCCCUAUAAAAUUUAGAGAAAUCAAAACUCGAAACCUGAUCUAGUGCGCGAUUUCAAGCGUGUCAUGCUCCUAUUGGGGGAUUAAGGAGCCCACCCUAAUAGAAGUCGCGCACCAUGAAUCAUGAUUCUCUCCUAAUCUGAUCAUGUCCUGAGUAAAUAACUCAACUGCUGAUUGAUUGUUAAUAAAUAAAAAAAUAAAAGAAGUCAAAUCUUACCCAUACACUACCACUAAAAGAUACAUGGCAGAAGAUCUUUAAAAGCUCAGUAAAACUCAUAUCAUAAGAGAAUCAUAAUCCACGCACCAUAAGUUGCACAACUAUACGCACAUGAUAAUUUUUGAUCGAAACCCCAUGGCAUGGCAGCUUGGACUCAACAUAUAUUCAGGGAUAUGGAUUACCGAUAUGGGCUACGGAUCAGCGGCAGCUAGCAACCUUAAUCUGUGAUCGGAAUUAGGAAUAAUGAAAAGAAAUAACCACGAUAUAAUACACCCAGCUAUAUUUAGGUACAGAGAAGCAUAAAUGCCGGAAAAUGUGAACAAGAAGGGGAAGCAACUUAAUUAGCUAAUUUUGAUUAACUUCAUGCAAAUAAUGUUAUUUUCCAGUUCAGUGUGUGUGAGUGCAUUGAAAUGGAAGUUUUAAAAGUCUCCAUGGAAAAAUAAAAAAUAAAAAAUUAAGGAGUCAUUAUUUGCAGCCUUGAAAACUAAGCGAUAUUUCCUUAGUUUUAACUCGGCUAAAAUCACAUGUUCAGAUAAUCAAGUUUUGUCACUUUUUUCUUUCUUUUUUUUUUUUCCUUCCCUUUCAAGAAAUGAACCAAAAAAAAAAAAGUUUGGUCACUCUUUUACAGUAAGCCCAACAAGGCAACAAUCGACAAAGUAGGAGAUUACCAUGCAAUUCGUGAGUUCCAAGAAAUAAUUUGUGCCUAGUAAAUACAAUUUAUUAAUUGUGUUAGUAUACCUAUACAUCUUCAGUAGCAAUCCUUUGUUAGACUAGUAUUUUCAAUAAGUUAUUUAAAUUAUGCCUACAUCAAUUUAUAAAUAUAAAAGUCAUUAGACAAAUAGUUGACGUAAAACUAUGAAAACUGUUAAAAAAUGUUAAUUUUGAAUUAUUCUAUAUAAAUUGAUUAUUUUUAAAUUACUCUCUUAUUUUAAAAAAAAAAAUUAAUUUACCCUCCAUUUUUAUUAAGAAAACAAAAAAAUUUCAUCAUCCCAUCCCUAUUGUCCCUUAUCUUAUGAAUAAAAAUAUGGAUAACUUAAAAGUUUUCAAAAUAAGAAUGUAAUUUAAAAAUAAUCAAUUCAUUCCAAAUUAUUCCUAUUUUUUCACCGUCUCUAAUUCAACCCUUUGACAUCUCUAAUUUAAAGAAUAAUUUUUUUAUUUAAUUUAAGACAAGUAAUAAAAUAAAGUAUCUUUGUUCCCUUGAUCCAGAAGUGGAUUAAUUAGCAAAAUUAUGGUAAAUCAUUGAUUCAUCUGGUGUUUAAAUAUGACAUAAAUAUUUGCCUUUGAUGACCAGUUGCUCAGAACACCAAAUAUUUAAAUCAAAUACAACAAACUAGGGGUCCCAUGUAGGUCGCCUACCUGAUUCCACCACCAUAAAAGUCCUAAUUUAACAGAUUAUAAAAAUCACAUUCUUACAUAAUCAAGUUUUUUUUUCAGCUUCUACAAUAAGUCAACAAUGGACAAAAAUUUUAAAUCGAUAAACUCCAAGACAUAAUUCCAAGUUAGAAAGAUUUAUACAAGGCUACAGUAGAAAAAUAAUUGCCUAAUAUAUAAAUUAAGAUAGCUUAGUUAAUCAAAAUAGUUAUAAUUUCUUCUUCUUGUCUAAUAAUCAUAAAUUCUUUUUUGAGUGUUACAAUGGAAGCAGCAGCUGUUUGCUAUGGGUUAAUAUCCAUCAUAUUUGCAGUCUUUGCUGGCUUGACAAUCGAGCUGACUUUGGAAGGCUUCAUGUAUACUAAUCUUGAUUUGCAGCACAAAGUAUUUUAUAUGAUAUCACUUGUUUUAAGAACUAUUUCGGGUAUUAUAAUUGCAGUCGGUUUUGUUUUCCUUGCUCUUGUGGCUUGUUUUGAGUGCCUGGCGAAACUCGAUUGCAAGAACAACAGAGCUGACGAUCAUGAUUCUGCAUCGCAGAUGCCGCCGCCUGCUAGCAAGAACAAGGAUGUGCCUUCUUCAGUGCGUAAGCAUCAUGAUCAUGAUCAUGAUCAUGAUCAGAAAACUUUAAACUUGGUAUAGAACUUCUUUUUUUGUGCUAAAUCAGUAGUUAUAUAUAUAUAUCGCCCUUCAUGGCUAUUUGAGUUUUGCCUUCUUUUUCUCUAUCUUUUUUUUUUUCCGUAAAAAAAUACCUGAGUCGUGCAUUCAUGGCUUGACAAAAUAGUUAUGCAGAAUCCCUUAUUUUCAUAAAUGAUCUCACAAACUUCUUUUUCUGAAAUACAAAUUUUUUUUUUUUCAGAAAUGAUCACAUAGAUCCUAAAAUUUAUCCAAUUUAUAAUUUACUGUCAUUUUUCCUUGUAUUGCAAAUAUGUAUAUAUCCGCUUGUAUUUGGUGUUUGAUAUUAGGAAAAGAAAAUAAAACUCACUUUUUUUUUUUUUUGAACUUUUAAACAGCAUUCAAAUAAAGAAUCAUUUUUUGGUUAAAGAAACUUUUGAUGGACUUAUGUUUUACGAGGGUCUUAUAUAUUCCAUUGUUAGCUAGAUUCAGG
Molecule: long non-coding RNA, 27504 nt
Filed under: Citrus maxima (pomelo)
Lineage: Eukaryota; Viridiplantae; Streptophyta; Magnoliopsida; Sapindales; Rutaceae
Description: long non-coding RNA (CMAX_LNC003429)
Source: RNAcentral